Molecule: ribosomal RNA, 460 nt
Filed under: uncultured bacterium
Lineage: Bacteria
Description: partial 16S ribosomal RNA
Rfam family: Bacterial small subunit ribosomal RNA
Source: RNAcentral
CCUACGGGAGGCAGCAGUGAGGAAUAUUGGUCAAUGGACGAGAGUCUGAACCAGCCAAGUAGCGUGAAGGAUGACUGCCCUAUGGGUUGUAAACUUCUUUUAUAAAGGAAUAAAACGCGGCACGUGUGCCGUUUUGCAUGUACUUUAUGAAUAAGGAUCGGCUAACUCCGUGCCAGCAGCCGCGGUAAUACGGAGGAUCCGAGCGUUAUCCGGAUUUAUUGGGUUUAAAGGGAGCGUAGAUGGGUUGUUAAGUCAGUUGUGAAAGUUUGAGGCUCAACCGUCAAAUUGCCAUUGAUACUGGCAUUCUUGAGUACACUUGAGGUAUGCGGAAUGCGUGGUGUAGCGGUGAAAUGCUUAGAUAUCACGCAGAACCCAGAUUGCGAAGGCAGCUUACUAACCUGUGACUGACAUUGAUGCUCGAAAGUGUGGGUAUCAAACAGGAUUAGAUACCCCGGUAGUC